This 455-nucleotide ribosomal RNA is filed under the name Clostridiales bacterium oral taxon 085. RNAcentral's name for it is "bacterial SSU rRNA". It matches the Rfam family "Bacterial small subunit ribosomal RNA", at positions 28 to 490 of the family's 1533-position model. Lineage: Bacteria; Bacillati; Bacillota; Clostridia; Eubacteriales. The record is from RNAcentral.
GAUAAACGCUGGCGGCGCACAUAAGACAUGCAAGUCGAACGAACUUAAUUGAGAGCUUGCUCUCAAAGCGGUUAGUGGCGGACUGGUGAGUAACACGUAAGCAACCUGCCUAUUAGAGGGGAAUAACAGCGAGAAAUCGUUGCUAAUACCGCAUAUGCUGUGAGUAUCGCAUGAUACAAGCAGGAAAGGAGCAAUCCGCUAAUAGAUGGGCUUGCGUCUGAUUAGUUAGUUGGUGGGGUAACGGCCUACCAAGACGAUGAUCAGUAGCCGGACUGAGAGGUUGAACGGCCACAUUGGGACUGAGAUACGACCCAGACUCCUACGGGAGGCAGCAGUCGGGAAUAUUGCGCAAUGGAGGAAACUCUGACGCAGUGACGCCGCGUGCAGGAAGAAGGUUUUCGGAUUGUAAACUGCUUUUAACAGGAAAGAAAAAAAUGACGGUACCUGUGAAUAAG